AUGAACGCUGGCGGCGUGCCUAAUACAUGCAAGUCGAGCGAACGGACGAGAAGCUUGCUUCUCUGAUGUUAGCGGCGGACGGGUGAGUAACACGUGGAUAACCUACCUAUAAGACUGGGAUAACUUCGGGAAACCGUAGCUAAUACCGGAUAAUAUUUUUAACCGCAUGGUUCAAAAGUGAAAGACGGUCUUGCUGUCACUUAUAGAUGGAUCCGCGCUGCAUUAGCUAGUUGGUAAGGUAACGGCUUACCAAGGCAACGAUGCAUAGCCGACCUGAGAGGGUGAUCGGCCACACUGGAACUGAGACACGGUCCAGACUCCUACGGGAGGCAGCAGUAGGGAAUCUUCCGCAAUGGGCGAAAGCCUGACGGAGCAACGCCGCGUGAGUGAUGAAGGUCUUCGGAUCGUAAAACUCUGUUAUUAGGGAAGAACAUAUGUGUAAGUAACUGUGCACAUCUUGACGGUACCUAAUCAGAAAGCCACGGCUAACUACGUG
This 496-nucleotide ribosomal RNA is filed under the name uncultured bacterium. Its description in RNAcentral is "partial 16S ribosomal RNA". It matches the Rfam family "Bacterial small subunit ribosomal RNA", at positions 29 to 507 of the family's 1533-position model. The record is from RNAcentral.